This 771-nucleotide long non-coding RNA is filed under the name Homo sapiens (human). RNAcentral's name for it is "non-protein coding lnc-ZMYM3-1:6". Lineage: Eukaryota; Metazoa; Chordata; Mammalia; Primates; Hominidae. The record is from RNAcentral.
AGGAACAACUGCCUGUGAGCCUUGAACAAGCUACUUCCAUUUUCUGGCUCUUUAGUCUCCUCAUUUGUAAAAUGAGGGGGCUGGAGUAAGUAAGCUCUAUAAGGCUCUCAGCUGUGACAUCUAUGCAUAAUCACAGAAGAUCGAAGUGUACAGAACACCAUGGAAACUGAAGAGAGAUUCUGAAAGGAGGCUUUAAGAGGUCACUUGCAUCCAAUGCUGCAGAAGUGUCAGAGACUGAGGACUUAAAUGAAGCCACUGAUUAGCAAUUUAAAGAUCCUCUCCAAGGUAAGGACCCCUCCCUCUCAAGCCACUACUUUUCUAUGACCUUUCUCCUACCAUCUCUAAAUGUGAACAUUCUGUAAAAUUCCGUUCUCUGGCUGGGCGCCGUGGCUCACGCCUGUAAUCCUAGCAGUUUGGGAGGCCGAGGCGAGCGGAGCACCUGAGGUCGGGAGUUUAAGAUCAGCCUGACCAACAUGGAGAAACCCCAUCUCCACUAAAAAUACAAAAUUAGCCGGGCGUGGUGGCGCAUGCCUGCAAUUCCAGCUACUUGGGAGGCUGAGGCAGGAGAACCACUUGAACCGGGGAGGUGGAGGUUGCUGUGAGCUGAGAUCGUACCAUUGCACUCCAGCCUGGGCAACAAGAGCAAAACUCUGUCUCAAAAAAAAAAAAAUUUCGUUCUCUGCCCUCCAGGGAGACUUAGCCACACUCCCAUAGCAACUGUUAUCUCUACAAGGUAGAUCAGAAAUCUCUGGUUCAUACCUUCCUUUCGCA